RNAcentral lists this ribosomal RNA (254 nucleotides) under uncultured bacterium. RNAcentral describes it as "partial 16S ribosomal RNA". It matches the Rfam family "Bacterial small subunit ribosomal RNA", at positions 524 to 776 of the family's 1533-position model. The record is from RNAcentral.
UACGGGGGGGGCAAGCGUUGUUCGGAAUUACUGGGCGUAAAGGGCUCGUAGGCGGCCAACUAAGUCAGACGUGAAAUCCCUCGGCUUAACCGGGGAACUGCGUCUGAUACUGGAUGGCUUGAGUUUGGGAGAGGGAUGCGGAAUUCCAGGUGUAGCGGUGAAAUGCGUAGAUAUCUAGAGGAACACCGGUGGCGAAGGCGGCAUCCUGGACCAACACUGACGCUGAGUGAGCGAAAGCCAGGGGAGCAAACGGG